GGCGGACCGGCCUUCCGGCGGGGCCGGCCCGAGCCUCCUUCCCGCGGGCCGGCGGCACUCCGCUCCGGGUCGGGCCCGCUCCACGCGGGGAGCGGCUGCGAGGCGCACGGCCCGUCGAGCAGCUCCUGGGUGGAGCGAUUGGUCUGUCUCCUUCGAAGCCGAGCCUUGAGGACUGCUUUCUCGGAAAGCUGUCGAGAUGCGUUUUGAUAAACGUUCUCUGAAGUACCCGAUUCGCGUCCAAAAGAAGGUAACCCACGUUGCCGUGAUGCCGGUGUUUUGUUUUCAAAGCUCUACAGCCACCACUACAGAUCAGAAGGCUGUUUCAUGAUGAGAAAAAAAUCACUUCUGGGUACCUGACCCUGCAGUCACAGAGGAUUUCAGGAGCUGAGGUGUAAGUCCCUAAAACCAGGCACAACAGAGCAGGUUGGCUUCCAUCUCACACCUUGGGAAAGGCUGUUAUUGCUCAGUGUGAAUCAAAGUGGGGUGCACCUUACAAAGCCAUUCUGUGUUUCCAUUACAAACUUUUAUUUUAAGAAUGAAUCAUUUGCCCACUAAAGUUUACCUUUGCCAUACCAAUACUUUGUCCUUAGAAGUAGCAAAAACGGUACUACAAUUUUAGGGGGAAAAAAAAGAACUUACACAUGAAAAAGCUCAGAUACGUUCUGCUAAGUAGGAUUCCAUCCUUCCACUGCAAAGAGAGUACCUUUCCAAAUGCAGUAUGGACCAAAAAAUAAUUAUAAUAAUAAAUAAAAACUAAUGCUCCAAAGGCUCAUGGAAUUGAGAUUAAAGAGCCUUGAACAGCUGUUUAACACCAGAAUACUGAUUGAAAAAAUUAACAUUCCUUUUCCGUAUUUGAAAAGUACAGUUAUCUUGUCCAUUACCUGUAACCAUGACAUAGCUGCCAUAAAACACCACAGCAGUACCUACCACAGGUACAGCCGCUGCACACAUACUUCUGACUUUCCAAUGCUUUAAAGAACUGUGCAGUAAGACACACACCAAGAUGCAUGUAAAGCAUGCAACAGAUGUGGUCUGAUUUUUGGGUGGUGCUGCGUGGAGCUGGGAGUCAGGCUCGAUGAUGGGUCCCUUGCAGGUCACUUCCAACUGAAAAUAUGAACAGAUGCUGCCCACGGAGAUUCACUGGCAUAUGGAUGAAGAGUAGGCACCCCAAUUUAACUAUUUAUCUAUUUAUUUAUUUUACUAAACACUAUCUGAAAGAAACCACAUGGUCUAGAGGUAACAUGCCAUUUGUCUCUUGCUAAACAUGGUACAAAGAUCAAUUUGGACUCAGGUACAGUGCUAUUUAAAGUAAACCAUAGUGAACGUGAGCCUUAGAUCAAGGAUGUCAUUGAGGGGUUUCAGCAGUCAAGACAGUACACUGUUUACAUGACUAACAUAGGGAAAGUGCAGACCACACUGAGAAGGAAGAAAUGAAAAGUCAUCCAUGUGGUUAAUUACAAUUAAGACACCAACACAAUGAGACCCCGGUUAAAUACACAUAUAGCAGAAUGAGCAACUAGUAUGUGCUGUAGAGGUAAAGCUCUGCAGCAAACCAAACUGAAGUUGCAGUGCAGCGUAGCAGGAAACUCAAAGUGCCCUCUCCUCUGCGUGCCUCACCUGUGUGGCAGCUAUGGGGAUAGCGUGCCCCAGAGAACCAGGAGAACAGAUCGUGUGCUUGAAGGUAACGACCUCCUGGUACAGCUUAGGGAAGGAUCACAUCAUGUAUUUGGUUUUUAAGCUCAGGGAAAACUACCUCAGGCAUAUCACUUAUGAAAGGAAAUAAAUGAGAGCAAACCACAGAAGUGAGACUGAGCUACGCAAGAGUAGUUCUAUCCCGGCCUUUUUUGAGGAAGUUAUUCAAUGUUUCACUGUGAAAAUUGAAAUAAAACAAGUCAAACCAUUUGCAACAUUAGGAGUAAUCAACGGCCAACAUUUUGCAGACAGUUUGUCACUUCAGCUGCAGCUGAGACAGGGCUUCUACUGCAAACAACUUCCAGCUCAAAGCAAAACAGUUUGCAAAGCAAACACUGAACAAAUGCAAAGAGUUUCUGUGUUGAGGCAAAAGCUUGGGCUCAACAGUUCCCAGGCUUACAGAAAGGUCCCAGAAAUGUCAGCGUGUAUUUUUUUUCUAAAUCUCCAAGGAAGGCAGGCCUCCCAGAGCUACUGCACCAGCACUGGUGGUUGUUGGGGGUAGAAACAAAAAAAGAACAAGCAAAUGGGCCUGAUAGAAAUGUUUCAGGUGGGGUAAAGGAAGCAGACAGAACUGAACUGCGAUGGACUUCACAUGCCCAGCUUUUUUCAACUCUAAGAAACGUACCCAGUUCAGAUCUGUGCUCCCUCCUUGCCACCAAACUUUGUUUGACUUAAGCAAGUCAAACAAAGAGACUUUGUUCAAUGCCAGCAGAGCUCUGACAGAUUGCAGCAAGAUAAGCACAGCAGAGGGCGCAGCUGAAGCGCCGAGACAAAUCCAUGUCAUAAAACUGCAGCGGGUAAGAGACGCCUCACUGCUUUCUCCGGAUCUCUGCAGCAGGACCUUAUGAAACACCCGGGCAGGAAUCCCCUAUCGACCUUGCCAACCAGUUGGCAAACCAGUUUGAGUCAGAAGCCCCUCAGCAGCUGCUCCACAGCUAAACACACUGAUCUUGCCAGUCAGGAGGCAGCACAGGUGUUGCACACUUGGGUUGUUUCUCAUAUCUCUGACCAACUUGUGAGAAAUGAGCAGCAGAGUGUGAAACGUUCUCCUCCCACAGCACAACACACAGCAGCUACGCUGACAGAGCAGGAGGGGAGCACGGCGUUAUAUUCCUUACUGAGGAAUGCUCACGCGCUAAGUGGUGUGAUAAUUAAAUUGUUACUCACAUUGACAAGUGGGUGGAAGAGGCUGAAAACCUCUGAUGCAGUUUGCCACAGGCAAUUAUAGAUUUACUAGCGAUGCAUCUGUCACACAGAAAGAUGGGCUUGGACUCAAGUAUCUGCAAUAGCUCAACUUUAACCCACUUCCCAGAAGUAAAAUGGAAUGAGCAGACUGCUGUGCGUCCACAGCACAGCACAGACCCACCUCCAACCUACCGCAUGGGAACAGCUGUACAAUUUCACAUACUCAAGUAUUCAUCCAAGCAAGAACUUGUAGACGUUAAUCCUUAUCCAAAGAUCUGGGAAUUUCCGCCCUAGAAAUUCUGAUAUUAUAACCUAGUUAUGUAGAACUUACAAAGCCUCAGUUCUGCCAUCUGCCAUCUCACUUGGUCACUGCACAACAAAAGGAUCGUUGGCUCAGCAGAGGUGAUCUGACAGCAAGUAAAUAUCACUCCCUUCACUAAGCAUCUGUCACUCACAAGGACUGACCCACCUGCCUGCCUAUUUAAAUUUUCCUCUCAAGCUCAAAACUGACAGUAAUUUGUCUUAACAAACCUGGGAACUGACAGUGAAAAACUGAACCUUGUGUCCUAUGGUACCAGCCCUAUUUCACUAUCAGCCACGUGUGAAACAAGUUGGUAGUGUUUAGACCUCUCCACAUAGAGGGAAGAUGAUUAGGAAGAAUGGAGGGGAAAAAAAGGAAACAAAAGGUAACUUCUACUAGCAACACCUUUUGGAAUGACCAGCAUUUGUUGUGCCAAUCCCACUCCUAGGAGAAACCCAUGCACCUGGCACCCCACCACAGUCUUAAGAUUCUCUUAAAUUCUUCAGAAAUGAACUUUUGCUAGAGAAACCUGAAGGCAUGCCAGGGGUCUGUGUUCCUUCUGCUUCCUGCAGAAGCCUGUAGGAAACAGCAUUCGGUAGGGACAUGCACAAAGGACAAGACACAAAGACAACUGAAGUGGAUUUUUUUCCCCAAAGACUUUUUAUUAGAGAAAAAUCAAAACAAUUCCCCAACCAGUCAUUACAAGGUCAAUCCGUAUAAGCCCCCCACAUCUGUUCCCCAUAACCACACCAGCACAGUGAGGAUCAAUGUGCAGCACUACAGUGAUGAUACCAUAACAGUCACCUGGGGAACUUAAGCCUUCACCACCAUUUCUGAGAGAAAGGUAUUUUUGUAUUCUGAUAAGGACGGGGAGAGGAUGUCAUAACAGAUAGGACAGGGAAAGCCCCUCGCGUGGACUGUCUCUUCAACUUGUAUAAAAACAAAAAUCAAAAAUCCUUAACAGAUCUACAGGCUUCAAACUGUAAGACCUAAAGCUACCUUCAAAUGACUUGUAAUUCAGUCCUGGGGCAUCACUGUUCUGCACUGUAACAGCUUUCAAAAGUGUACAAGGAUAGCAUGGAUGCAAAGGGAGGGGAGUGGACUUGGAUCCUUAAUAUAGCUUUAUAAAAAAAAAUAAAAAUUAAAAGCAGUAUAAGCACUUGCCAGUAGAACAAACUACUCCAGGAUCUCAGCAAUGGCAAAGAAGAGACAAAGCACUAACUUAUUUAGAUGACUGUAUGUCCUCUUUUCACCUUCUUUCCCAUAGCUUCACCCUGGACAACCGUUUCCCUCCUGGUAAUAGAUCAGAUUCCAAUUAGAAAUCAUGAAUGCUUUUUUUUUUUUUCUUUUUUUCUUUUU
This is a long non-coding RNA of Lagopus muta (rock ptarmigan), 4537 nucleotides long. RefSeq lists it as uncharacterized. NCBI's taxonomy places the organism in Eukaryota, Metazoa, Chordata, Aves, Galliformes, Phasianidae. The record is from RefSeq and is a predicted model, not a curated record. The transcript has 2 exons.